UACAGAGGGUGCGAGCGUUGUUCGGAAUUAUUGGGCGUAAAGCGCUUGUAGGCGGCACGUCAAGUCGCGUGUGAAAUCCCCAGGCUUAACCUGGGAAGUGCGCGCGAAACUGACGAGCUUGAGUGCCGGAGAGGGUCGCGGAAUUCCCGGUGUAGAGGUGAAAUUCGUAGAUAUCGGGAGGAACACCAGUGGCGAAGGCGGCUUACUGGUCCGGUACUGACGCUGAGGUGGCGAAAGCGUUGGGGAGCAAACAGG
RNAcentral lists this ribosomal RNA (255 nucleotides) under uncultured bacterium. Its description in RNAcentral is "partial 16S ribosomal RNA". It matches the Rfam family "Bacterial small subunit ribosomal RNA", at positions 524 to 776 of the family's 1533-position model. The record is from RNAcentral.